RNAcentral lists this ribosomal RNA (492 nucleotides) under uncultured bacterium. RNAcentral describes it as "partial 16S ribosomal RNA". It matches the Rfam family "Bacterial small subunit ribosomal RNA", at positions 29 to 507 of the family's 1533-position model. The record is from RNAcentral.
AGUGAACGCUGGCGGCAGGCCUAACACAUGCAAGUCGAACGGCAGCACAGUAAGAGCUUGCUCUUACGGGUGGCGAGUGGCGGACGGGUGAGGAAUACAUCGGAAUCUACUUUUUCGUGGGGGAUAACGUAGGGAAACUUACGCUAAUACCGCAUCCGACCUACGGGUGAAAGCAGGGGAUCUUCGGACCUUGCGCGAUUGAAUGAGCCGAUGUCGGAUUAGCUAGUUGGCGGGGUAAAGGCCCACCAAGGCGACGAUCCGUAGCUGGUCUGAGAGGAUGAUCAGCGACACUGGAACUGAGACACGGUCCAGACUCCUACGGGAGGCAGCAGUGGGGAAUAUUGGACAAUGGGCGCAAGCCUGAUCCAGCCAUACCGCGUGGGUGAAGAAGGCCUUCGGGUUGUAAAGCCCUUUUGUUGGGAAAGAAAAGCAGCAGGUUAAUACCCCGCUGUUCUGACGGUACCCAAAGAAUAAGCACCGGCUAACUUCGUG